GAGGCGGGCGAAGAAAACAUCUCCAAUUAUAUGCCGUCGAUGACAUCCUGACCCUUCUUCCCCACGUGACGGUGGUGGGAAACAAUUUCAAGUAAGAACAGUGUGGAUCUAUUGGGAAGUAUCAAUGGUGAGGAGUUGGCUGCUGUAGGAGGAAAUCAGCUGUGCGUGUAUUAUUACCUGCUGUGGAGUUCUUCAAAGGUUCGCCCCUGUCUAGAUCUCUUGACUUGUCGGUUGGUAGAAAGAAGAGGGAAGCGUUCGACCCAUCCAGUGUAGUACACCCCGGGUGAGACAACUUACCUGUGUGUGACGCCAGCGGAGGCCGUGUUCGGCCCAACGCAACAGUUUUCGAUCCGCCUCUCUAUCAGCAGUUGGUAGAAGCCUCAGAAAAGGAACGUCUGACGUCUAUUCCUUCGAAGAUCUAGCGGGUCCCUUUGAAGCGUCUACCUGCAUGUCGACUCGUCACUCAGGAUACAGAGACCGUGGAAACCCCCUCCCGUACACUUACCAGUACGGUUUUAGUUGGAUCCCGGCAGCCCUUGGGCAGUUCCCCCAGCAUCUGGACGACCGGGAGUAUAAUCCGCUGGGUCGCCUCGGAGUUCGUCAAAAGUAGCAGCAGAUCUAGCGGGUCCCUUUGAAGCGUCUACCUGCAUGUCGACUCGUCACUCAGGAUACAGAGACCGUGGAAACCCCCUCCCGUACACUUACCAGUACGGUUUUAGUUGGAUCCCGGCAGCCCUUGGGCAGUUCCCCCAGCAUCUGGACGACCGGGAGUAUAAUCCGCUGGGUCGCCUCGGAGUUCGUCAAAAGUAGCAGCAGGUAUCCAUUGUGCAUCCAAACUCUCAAUACUUACCACUUGUAUCUGUUACGUCCAGGAAAGGAGAGGGCCCUGGACAGUCGUCCUGCAAGCCAGAACAAAGGGGCACUUGCGAAUAAGCUGAUUGUCGUCACAUAGCCAGAAGGAAAGAGGAGUGAAGGACUCACCUGAGAUCUCCCGUGACGGAGUCUAAGAGACUCGAGACUGUUACUCUCCAAAAGGAGGGUUGGAUUUUAGCCUCCCUUCCCCAUACCCUUUUUUUAGUAAUUUAAUAAAGUCUGUUUUAAUAUUUACUUACCGGC
Cyprinus carpio carpio is the source of this 1116-nucleotide long non-coding RNA. NCBI's taxonomy places the organism in Eukaryota, Metazoa, Chordata, Actinopteri, Cypriniformes, Cyprinidae. The record is from Ensembl.